This 253-nucleotide ribosomal RNA is filed under the name uncultured bacterium. RNAcentral describes it as "partial 16S ribosomal RNA". It matches the Rfam family "Bacterial small subunit ribosomal RNA", at positions 524 to 776 of the family's 1533-position model. The record is from RNAcentral.
UACGUAGGGUGCGAGCGUUGAUCGGAAUUACUGGGCGUAAAGGGUGCGCAGGCGGUUCUGCAAGUCAGGCGUGAAAUCCCCGGGCUUAACCUGGGAAUGGCGCUUGAAACUACGGAACUGGAGUAUGGCAGAGGGAGGUGGAAUUCCACGUGUAGCGGUGAAAUGCGUAGAGAUGUGGAGGAACACCGAUGGCGAAGGCAGCCUCCUGGGCCAAUACUGACGCUCAUGCACGAAAGCGUGGGGAGCAAACAGG